This 370-nucleotide unclassified non-coding RNA is filed under the name soil metagenome. RNAcentral describes it as "partial contains 5.8S ribosomal RNA, internal transcribed spacer 2, and large subunit ribosomal RNA". The stretch from base 1 to 120 matches the Rfam family "5.8S ribosomal RNA", at positions 35 to 154 of the family's 154-position model. The record is from RNAcentral.
GAUGAAGAACGUAGCGAAAUGCGAUAAGUAAUGUGAAUUGCAGAAUUCAGUGAACCAUAGAAUCUUUGAACGCACAUUGCGCCCGGCAGUAAUCUGCCGGGCAUGCCUGUCCGAGCGUCAUUUCUACCCUCGAGCGAGUCCAGCAUCUAGGUGCUGGGCCUCGCCCGGCGUUGGAGCACUACGGGAAGCCCUGUGCUGUCCCCCGUAGGCCCCGAAAUGAAGUGGCGGUCCUGCCGCGGCGCCCCCUGCGUAGUAUAACAGCUCGCUUCGGGACCCGGUGGAGGCCUGCCGUCAAACCUAUACUCUCUAAGUUUGACCUCGGAUCAGGUAGGGUUACCCGCUGAACUUAAGCAUAUCAAUAAGCGGAGGA